UUGACCUGGCCACCUCUCUCUGCCUCUUUCUCUGAAGUGUAAAUUCAUCCGUUCCAACUUCUCUCUCUCUCUUCUAUAUAAAUCGUGCUAUAUGAUUUUCUCGCACGUUAUCUCAUAUCUCUCUCUGUGUUCGACUGUCCGUAGAUGGAGAAGCCUAUGUUAUUCUGAAUGAGUGAAUAGUGAUCUCUCUCAUCACUUCAUCAGUCGUCUAUAUGCUCCUUCUUCCUUACGUUGACAGUCAAUAUGUUGCAUAUGUCUGCAUUUGCACCUGCACUGCACCCAAGUUUUCUCUGUGUGCUCAUUUCUCUCUAAAAAACAGACCAGAUAAAGAAAAGAACAAGCACCUGAAGGCGGUGUCGAUGCAGGUGCAGGUCCAGACGAAUGCCAUCUUGCCUCUCUCUCUCUCUCUCUCUCUCAACAUUUCAUGAAUCUUAAGGUGAUAAGACUCUGCCUGAGUCUGUCUGUGUGUGGGGACCGGCCGGGAGAGAGGUAAUGGGAGACCGUAAAAGCUCCAUUUGUCUUUUAAUAUGAAGAGGAAAUGCUUGUUUUCCCCAUAUUUUGAUUGUGAGUUUGAGGCUACAGAUUAUGUACAACUUUGAGUCGUUUAUGAAUGUGGGCUGCUUGAAGCAGGAUCUUCUCCUCACAAAUGGGCGCCUCACAGGCACAUCACCGUGCAUUGGUAACAUCUCUCGUGAAUAAUGACUAAUAAAUACGGGAGAUGUUCCCAAGGAUAUGCGUGUGAAGCGCCUGUGAGGAGCAGAUCCGGUCUCGCGCUGCUUACCCAAAAGGAUGUGGCGAGGCUAAGGCUUCUCUCAUCUCAUCUCAGGUAUGGCGAGACAUGAUCCAAGUCCGUGGGGUUGGACCGUGGGAGCAUGUAGGGUUGUCACUCGACACAGGUUCUUAAUGCGUAAUUUAUGAAGGAGGGGUCAUAUCAAGUGAGGUGGGCUGGUUAUAAGUUCAUUCAGAACAAUGUGGCUAAAAGCAUCUGUUUGGUGCUUGAAUCCAUCAUCAACCUGGAGGUGGGAACAUAUCAUUGCAAAUUAUUUGGCACACUGCUUGAGGCCCUUGUUUUUUGAAUUGAUAUCACUCUUUCUCAGGAUUUUAUUGUUACAGUAUGAACUUCCGAAGAUUUAUGUAUUGCACACCACUCUUUAUGUCCAGGAGCUAGGAGGUUCAAAUUUAUUGUUGGAUAUAUAUAUAUAUAUAUGAUUACAAUAAGAUAGUAAAAUGUAUGAUAAUCAGAUUGGAUGCCUUUGAGGCAUAACUUACCUAGUGCAAGGGAAAACGAUUGUGCUUGAUAUGUAUCUUGACUAGCCACAUGCUUGCAUGGCUGUGUGGCUUUACAAUUUUGUAACGACAUGGAGUUUUUUCAGUCAAGGCUCAACUCAGAGGAACAGGUGCAUAAACCAAUGCCUACCCAACUACCAGUUAUAGACACUAAUGGGGAGACUAGAGUUGCCUAAAAGGUCAAUGCUUAUCUGUAAACUGCAUUAGAAGCAGAGCUGAUGGUGAACACUGAACAGAGCUUCUGGGGAUGACAACAUAAUCUUCGCAUCAGACUUUCUUGAUAGCAAUAUCAUCUCCACAGAAGGACAAUGUUGCAUGGCAGUCUCCCCCGGCGAAGCUGAGCUCUGGGCAAUCAUCCGAGGUCUGAGGGUGCUGAUCUCAAAGAAAAUUCAAACUGCUAUACUCUUUUCUGAUGCAAAGGAAGUUUUAGAGGAAGUUAAGAGGAACCAAAAGAAAUACCAGUUGGAAUCAACAGCUGAUAGAGCACAUCAGAUAUUUACUUACACUUGUUGAUAAUAUUUUGUUAGUCCAUGCCUGUAGAACUGAUACUUCAGCAGCUCAUGUAAUGGCAAGAAAAGCCAGGCUUACUAGAUCUUUUGUUUCCUUUUGUAACCCCCGCUUUAUAUCUCUAGACUAGUGCCAUCAUGUAUCAGGGGUAUAGUAUGUAUCUUUGAUGUUUUUAGUGGUUCCUCUUUGAUUAAAAAAAACACAAAAAAACAUGGUCCAACAUACAAGAUUUGGAAAUAUGCCGACAACAAAAAAUUUUUCCUACAUGCCCACAAUGAAAACACUGUGAAGUCCCCUACUAAUAUACUUAAAUAUUACAAUAUGCCCACAAUCAUAACAGAUCUGUUUAAUAUACUCAACAAAAUGAAAACACUGUAGGAAUUCCCGUAUCUUUAUUCUUAGAGCCAAAAUAGUAGAUUUGGAAUCAAAUAUGAUGAUGCACAAUCUGGCUGGUCUUAGCUGUCAAUGAUCUUGCCUCUGAACUGAGU
Nelumbo nucifera (sacred lotus) is the source of this 2282-nucleotide non-coding RNA. Lineage: Eukaryota; Viridiplantae; Streptophyta; Magnoliopsida; Proteales; Nelumbonaceae. The record is from RefSeq and is a predicted model, not a curated record.